Molecule: long non-coding RNA, 579 nt
Filed under: Medicago truncatula (barrel medic)
Lineage: Eukaryota; Viridiplantae; Streptophyta; Magnoliopsida; Fabales; Fabaceae
Description: lncRNA gene22279
Source: RNAcentral
GUGAUUCCACAGGCUUUCUUGAACGGUUGCGGCCACGGUGCAUGUGGCGCUCACAGUACUUGGAGUCUGGGUAUGCUUCCUUCGAGCACCUCCACUUUUUUCCAUCAGUCCUCCUACAUCUUCCUGGCUCCGGGUCCACCUUCUUCCCAUAGAAGGAACAGUAACUCACUGUAGGAAUAGGGUGGUGAAAGAAAUUAUUAGAAGAAAGAGAGUGAAAGCUGGAAUGAAUAGGAUGGACAAGAUCAGGUGGAACAGGAAGACCAGCAACCAUAUAUUUAAAGAUCAAAGCUUGAUGUUCAAGUUCCUGCCACUGAGACACUGUGAAUGGUGAUGAUUUACUGUAACCCAUCAUCAUCCCUACACCUCCUCCGUUACUACUGCCACCCCCAGAGCUAUUCAUACUUUUUCUAACUGCUUUGUACUGUAACUCUCAGUGAGUGAGUGAAUCAAUAGUGUAUCUAUCUAUCUAUCUAGCUAACACAACAUACACUUGUAGUUGUUGUUCAGUCAGAGACCAGACUCAGAUCGAGCUUUGUCGGAAGGAACCAUUUGGUUUGUUUUGGUUUGGUGUUGAUUGUG